CUUCACCGAGCCGAGCCAGAGCGGCCGGCCGGCCGGACGGCCCUGCCCGUACGUCGACAGCAGCGCCUGCGCCUC
This 75-nucleotide antisense RNA is filed under the name Micromonospora marina. Its description in RNAcentral is "ASpks TB sRNA". It matches the Rfam family "ASpks TB sRNA". The record is from RNAcentral. Lineage: Bacteria; Bacillati; Actinomycetota; Actinomycetes; Micromonosporales; Micromonosporaceae.